CACGCUGUAAACGAUGUCGAUUUGAGUUUGGGGCAUGACCUUGGGCUCCGGAGCUAACGCGUUAAAUCGACCGCUGGGAGUACGGCCGCAAGGUUAAAACUCAAAUGAAUUGACGGGGGCCCGCACAAGCGGUGGAGCAUGUGGUUUAAUUCGAUGCAACGCGAAGAACCUUACCUGGUCUUGACAUCCAUAGAAUCUUUCAGAGAUGAGGGAGUGCCUUCGGGAGCUAUGAGACAGGUGCUGCAUGGCUGUCGUCAGCUCGUGUUGUGAAAUGUUGGGUUAAGUCCCGCAACGAGCGCAACCCCUAUCCUUUGUUGCCAGCACGUAAUGGUGGGAACUCAAAGGAGACUGCCGUUGAUAAAGCGGAGGAAGGUGGGGACGACGUCAAGUCAUCAUGGCCCUUACGACCAGGGCUACACACGUGCUACAAUGGCGUAUACAAAGGGAUGCGAAGGUGCGAACUGGAGCGGACCUCACAAAGUACGUCUAAGUCCGGAUUGGAGUCUGCAACUCGACUCCAUGAAGUCGGAAUCGCUAGUAAUCGUGAAUCAGAAUGUCACGGUGAAUACGUUCCCGGGCCUUGUACACACCGCCCGUCACACCAUGGGAGUGGGUUGCACCAGAAGUAGAUAGCUUAACCUUCGGGAGGGCGUUUACCACGGUGUGGUUCAUGACUGGGGUGAAGUCGUAACAAGGUAACCA
This 702-nucleotide ribosomal RNA is filed under the name uncultured Enterobacteriaceae bacterium. RNAcentral describes it as "bacterial SSU rRNA". It matches the Rfam family "Bacterial small subunit ribosomal RNA", at positions 796 to 1502 of the family's 1533-position model. Lineage: Bacteria; Pseudomonadati; Pseudomonadota; Gammaproteobacteria; Enterobacterales; Enterobacteriaceae. The record is from RNAcentral.